GAUUUCAUUUUCAAGACAACGCACCCGACAGAAUCCCUUAGGCUUCCAACACACAUGGGUAAAUCUGCUCCUGACUACACAAAGAAAUGUUUGUGAGUGCCCUUUGCCCCACCUGAUUUCCUGAGUGAGUGAAGUUCCUUUACCUGGGAGAAUUUGAAUCAGAAUGUAGAUGAUAGCAAAGUAUAAGAAAAGGAUUCUCUGCAUGGCUGCAGGUAGACACAGGGCUGAUGUGAAGAGGAAUCAGCAGAACAGAUGAAGACUAAGCUCCCUGGGAAUUUUUACAAAUGGAAGAUCCAAGGUCCAGGAUUCAAGGAAGACUUCUAUAUAUGAAUUAAGGGAGGCUGAGAAAUAUGGUCAGAAACGUGAAUGCUUGAUUAUGUUGAAAAUUAUUUUUCUCUUUCAUCUUUUCAAUAGCCUCCAAGAAAAGGAUCUUUAUGAGAAUUAGCAAUUAUUGACUCUACUGGUGAAAAAAUGUUUAUGCAUUAUGAAUGAUGAAAAUUGCAGUUAGGGAAUAUUGAUCCUCUUUAAAACCUCUACUUGAAAAACCUUUCCCCAAACAGAAAUGGCAUUCAGUGUAUGCAGGACCUCAUAAGACUUUGAGAAAUUUUUAAUCUAAUGGGGAAAGUAGCAAAGUCAGUAGGUACACUAGGAAGAGCAGAUAAGACAAAUAAAUAUAUAACAAUGCCUUAUAUUGGUAAAGGUUUUGUAUUUUUCAUUUAUUUCACCUAACUAUUAAAAUAAGAUUUUAAGGCAGGGAAUAUAUUAACUUAAUUUCACAAAUGAAAAGAAAAAAAGCAUGAGACACAAUAAGAGACUUACCUAAAGUCACACAGCAAGUUAGGAGCUGGGCCAGGAUUUAAAUUAAACUCAUUUCAACGUAAUGUGAUGAAUGUGCACAUUAGCAAUGAUAGCAGACCUUGUAGCAUAGAUGGAGAAUGAGCUAUUCUGAGUCAUUACUAGAUACUAAUAGA
Molecule: long non-coding RNA, 971 nt
Organism: Antechinus flavipes (yellow-footed antechinus)
Lineage: Eukaryota; Metazoa; Chordata; Mammalia; Dasyuromorphia; Dasyuridae
Exons: 3
Source: RefSeq, a predicted model, not a curated record